AUUUGAUUCAGGCUUGGACAUAAGAAUGUCUACCCUUGAUUAUCACGCAUAUGAAUGCACCUUUGCUUCACAAUGCAUCAUUCACGCUUGAAUUGAUAAUUGAAGAUGGAGAUAGGAGGAUAAUCAUCACGCUUCCCACCAUAAUCAUUAUGAGGAACUCUUUUAGUUCUUGAUUGAACAUGUUCCUCAAAAUAAUAAGAGCAAAACAUAGAAGUUUCUUCAAGAAUGUAUGCUUCACAAAUAGAACCUUCAACAUGAGCCUUAUUCUUUACCUUUCUCUUUAAUGUGUAUAAAAACCUUUCAAAUAGAUACAUCCACUUAUAUUGUACAGGGCUACCAAUUAUAGCUUCAUAACUCAAGUGAACAUUAAAUGCUCCAUGACAUAAAAAAAAUCUAGAUGAAAUAUCUUCUCAAGUUUGCACAAAAUAA
Molecule: long non-coding RNA, 429 nt
Organism: Prosopis cineraria
Lineage: Eukaryota; Viridiplantae; Streptophyta; Magnoliopsida; Fabales; Fabaceae
Exons: 2
Source: RefSeq, a predicted model, not a curated record